CCUACGGGAGGCAGCAGUGGGGAAUAUUGGACAAUGGGGGCAACCCUGAUCCAGCAAUGCCGCGUGAGUGAUGAAGGCCUUAGGGUUGUAAAGCUCUUUCGGCGGGGACGAUGAUGACGGUACCCGCAGAAGAAGCCCCGGCUAACUUCGUGCCAGCAGCCGCGGUAAUACGAAGGGGGCAAGCGUUGUUCGGAAUCACUGGGCGUAAAGGGCGCGCAGGCGGCCAAUCAAGUCAGGCGUGAAAGCCCCGGGCUCAACCUGGGAAUUGCGCUUGAGACUGAUCGGCUUGAGGACGGGAGAGGAGAGUGGAAUUCCCAGUGUAGAGGUGAAAUUCGUAGAUAUUGGGAAGAACACCAAUGGCGAAGGCAGCUCUCUGGACCGUACCUGACGCUGAGGCGCGAAAGCGUGGGGAGCAAACAGGAUUAGAUACCCUUGUAGUC
RNAcentral lists this ribosomal RNA (440 nucleotides) under uncultured bacterium. RNAcentral's name for it is "bacterial SSU rRNA". It matches the Rfam family "Bacterial small subunit ribosomal RNA", at positions 338 to 795 of the family's 1533-position model. The record is from RNAcentral.